This 911-nucleotide long non-coding RNA is filed under the name Dromaius novaehollandiae (emu). RNAcentral describes it as "lncRNA (ENSDNVG00000009582.1)". The record is from RNAcentral. Lineage: Eukaryota; Metazoa; Chordata; Aves; Casuariiformes; Dromaiidae.
AAUUCGUGACCAUUUUUGUUCCUUUUUUUCACAGAAUCGCAGAAUGGUUGGGGUUCGAAGGGACCUCUGGAGAUCAUCUGGUCCAACCCCCCCGCUCAAGCAUGGUCACCUAGAGGAGACUGCCCAGGACUCUGUCCAGACAGCUUUUGAAUAUCUCCAAGGAUUUGCUACUGAAGUAGCUGCAAGACACAUAGCUCAAGAAAGAGAGGAAUAGCAGCAUCUUGGGAAUGAUGGCAUAUCUUGAAAAAUGUCUUGGAAAAACUUCAGAACGGAAAGCCCUACCUUCCCACAACCCUGUAGGUUGCUCUGGGGCUGCCGAAGAACCAGCACGACCUGCCCGUCUUCUCUGAGCAGAGUCACUUCCAACCCUGAGAAGUCGCCUGCACAGGAGUUACCCUGAAGUAACUGGACCCAUCAGCUCUGUGGCAGUGCCCCUAUGAAAGACUGCAGUCCAAACAAAGGGUGCCAUCCGCAUUACCACCGUAUCAGAAGAAGAGUAAGAGUAACAGGAAGAAACUGUAGGUUUAUGCCUAUGCUAAUUUAACACAGACACUCUCUCGCAACUGAUGAUUAAGUAAGUAGCUAGCUUCAUAUUUCAGGUACAAACUUUGUUACACCUGUACAUGCUUUAAAGAACUGGCCUGACAUUCAGAGAUGCCAAGGUCUUUAAAUCCCAGAGCUGACUAGCACUACUAAGUGCUUGAACUUAGAAACUAGUUGGCGAGAUACACUGUAGUCAGCUCCUUAUGCUUCAGUGAGACAUCUCAUAGACCAUGGCAUAAAGCGUUAGACCUUGCUAAACAUUAGCUUACUCUGGAUGUACACACUCAAGUUUUAACAUUUUGGCACUACUGUGUAAUAGAUGUAUGAUUUAUAAUAAAAUCUUCCUUGCAUAUAUUAUUUAUCCGUUA